CCUACGGGAGGCAGCAGUGGGGAAUAUUGGGCAAUGGAGGAAACUCUGACCCAGCGACGCCGCGUGCGGGAUGAAGGCCUUCGGGUUGUAAACCGCUUUCAGCAGGGAAGAAGCGAAAGUGACGGUACCUGCAGAAGAAGCACCGGCUAACUAUGUGCCAGCAGCCGCGGUAAUACAUAGGGUGCAAGCGUUGUCCGGAAUUAUUGGGCGUAAAGAGCUCGUAGGUGGUUCGUCACGUCGGAUGUGAAAAUCUGGGGCUUAACCCCAGACCUGCAUUCGAUACGGGCGAGCUUGAGUAUGGUAGGGGAGUCUGGAAUUCCUGGUGUAGCGGUGGAAUGCGCAGAUAUCAGGAGGAACACCAAUGGCGAAGGCAGGACUCUGGGCCAUUACUGACACUGAGGAGCGAAAGCGUGGGGAGCGAACAGGAUUAGAUACCCUGGUAGUCCACGCCGUAAACGGUGGGCACUAGUUGUGGGGACCUUCCACGGUCUCUGCGACGCNGCUACGCAUAAGUGCCCGCCGUCGGGAGGUACGAGUCGCGACGAAUUAAACGUACGAAGGAAGUUAGUACGGCGUGAGACGUGCCGACGGACGACGACGAGGGAGGAGG
This 610-nucleotide ribosomal RNA is filed under the name uncultured bacterium. RNAcentral describes it as "bacterial SSU rRNA". The stretch from base 1 to 521 matches the Rfam family "Bacterial small subunit ribosomal RNA", at positions 338 to 873 of the family's 1533-position model. The record is from RNAcentral.